CGCCUCCUGCUGACCUAUAGGAGGUCCAGCCUGCCCAGUGACAAAGUUUAACGGCCUCGGUACCCUAACCGCGCGAAGGUAGCAUAAUCACUUGUUCUUUAAAUAGGGACUUGUAUCAACGGCAUCACGAGGGCUAGACUGUCUCCCCUCCCUAAUCAGUGAACCUGACCUCUUCGUGAAAAGGCGAAGAUACCCAUAUAAGACGAGAAGACCCCAUGGAGCUUAAAACUAAGUAGCACUCUCUUAUAUAUGCACCUUAAAAAACAAGAGAACUGUUACCUACUUUUGGCUGGGGCAUCCAGGGAGUCUAGCAUAACCUCCUUGACGAAUCAUCUUAGAACUACUAUUCCAAGAAGCAGCAAACUGAAGUAAUAUGACCCGAUUAAUCGAUCAACGAACCAAGUUACCCUGGGGAUAACAGCGCAAUCCAUUUCAAGAGCUCUUAUCGACAAAUGGGUUUACGACCUCGAUGUUGGAUCAGGGUACCCCAGUGGUGCAGCCGCUACUAAAGGUUCGUUUGUUCAACGAUUAAAACCCU
RNAcentral lists this ribosomal RNA (538 nucleotides) under Phrynobatrachus africanus (African swamp frog). Its description in RNAcentral is "partial 16S ribosomal RNA". It matches the Rfam family "Bacterial large subunit ribosomal RNA", at positions 1829 to 2597 of the family's 2925-position model. The record is from RNAcentral. Lineage: Eukaryota; Metazoa; Chordata; Amphibia; Anura; Phrynobatrachidae.